UCAGCUCCAGCUCCUCCACCCCACUCCCUGAACAGCACUGCAGAACUGUGCUAAGCUCCUGUGGCUUGGAAAGAACAGAUGCAAGAGACAUAGUAAAUGCCUCCAAAUAACUUAGUCCUCAACCUGAAGCCAAAGUGAUUUCGGUGUACCAGGAUUGAAAUACUUCUGUAUUCACAACUGAAUGGAUAAACGGGCACUCCUUGUGGCUCCUCAUUGUAUGUCCCCUAGAGGGUCAGCAAGGCCAAGAAUUGGUUUGUGGAACAAAUAUCCAUUACUCCAAUCGGGGAUGAAAAAGAGUACACGCCAUGGAUUUUGCUCUCGGGAGUGAUUGAUUCAGCGAGUGAAAUAAGACCAACAUGCAUGGAAGGGUUGAUGAUGCUAGAAUCUCCCACACUUUGCCAGCCACAGGGAAGUCAAAUCAGUAUUGACUUUGUUAUUCAAAUCAGCACCAGACCGGUCACUUUUAGAAGUGAUACCAUGGGAGGCAAUUAAACCCAGGAAAAUGCUGAGCACUAGAGUGACCAUGCAAGAAGGGGCCUUAGAGAUAGAUCCUGUACGUCUUCACCUGUUGGUGCCAGGGCCAGAACAGAGGCCUGCAAGGGUAAGAGCAAGCU
Molecule: long non-coding RNA, 614 nt
Filed under: Homo sapiens (human)
Lineage: Eukaryota; Metazoa; Chordata; Mammalia; Primates; Hominidae
Description: HSALNT0249062
Source: RNAcentral